UACGGGAGGCAGCAGUGGGGAAUAUUGCACAAUGGGCGCAAGCCUGAUGCAGCCAUGCCGCGUGUAUGAAGAAGGCCUUCGGGUUGUAAAGUACUUUCAGUCGUGAGGAAGGUGUUAAGGUUAAUAACCUUAGCAAUUGACGUUAGCGACAGAAGAAGCACCGGCUAACUCCGUGCCAGCAGCCGCGGUAAUACGGAGGGUGCGAGCGUUAAUCGGAAUUACUGGGCGUAAAAGGGCACGCAGGCGGUUAAUUAAGUUGGAUGUGAAAAUCCCCCGGGCUUAACCUGGGAAUGGCAUUCAAGACUGGUUAGCUAGAGUCUUGUAGAGGGGGUAGAAUUCCAUGUGUAACGGUGAAAUGCGUAGAGAUGUGGAGGAAAUACCGGUGGCGAAAGGCGGCCCCCUGGACAAAGACUGACGCUCAUGUGCGAAAGCGUGGGGAGCAAAAC
This 446-nucleotide ribosomal RNA is filed under the name uncultured bacterium. RNAcentral describes it as "bacterial SSU rRNA". It matches the Rfam family "Bacterial small subunit ribosomal RNA", at positions 340 to 774 of the family's 1533-position model. The record is from RNAcentral.